UACGGAGGGGGCUAGCGUUGUUCGGAAUUACUGGGCGUAAAGCGCGCGUAGGCGGCUUUGUAAGUUAGAGGUGAAAGCCCGGGGCUCAACCCCGGAACUGCCUUUAAGACUGCAUCGCUUGAAUCCGGGAGAGGUGAGUGGAAUUCCGAGUGUAGAGGUGAAAUUCGUAGAUAUUCGGAAGAACACCGGUGGCGAAGGCGGCAUCCUGGACCGGUAUUGACGCUGAGGCGCGAAAGCCAGGGGAGCAAACGGG
This 253-nucleotide ribosomal RNA is filed under the name uncultured bacterium. RNAcentral's name for it is "partial 16S ribosomal RNA". It matches the Rfam family "Bacterial small subunit ribosomal RNA", at positions 524 to 776 of the family's 1533-position model. The record is from RNAcentral.